GGUCCCUACGUACCAGGAGAAGGAGCAGGGCCGGCCUCCUACUGACACCGCCACAUCGCUGCCCGCGUUCAGGUGGCUGCCCUCGAUGCCAAUCCAGGUGCCCCCCGAAAGGGGCCCACGGGCAGGGCUCACGCGGUAGAAGGUUCCGGGAGCCUGGCAGAUGACCCAGAGGCACCCCCCCACCACUCAGGACUUUGACCCGUGCCCGGAGGCCCACUGCCCUCCUGAACAGAUGGGAGACCGAGGCCUGCCACCUCAGGACCGCGAACUCAGCCUUCUCCCCUCUCCCACCACAACGUUAUAGCUCUGCAGACCCCACCAUCACUAAAUUCACGGGAUGCGA
Molecule: non-coding RNA, 343 nt
Organism: Odocoileus virginianus texanus
Lineage: Eukaryota; Metazoa; Chordata; Mammalia; Artiodactyla; Cervidae
Source: RefSeq, a predicted model, not a curated record